GCUACGGGAGGCAGCAGUGAGGAAUAUUGGUCAAUGGCCGCAGGGCUGAACCAGCCAAGUCGCGUGAGGGAUGACGGUCCUAUGGAUUGUAAACCUCUUUUGUCAGGGAGCAAAGGGCGCCACGUGUGCCGUUUUGCGUGUACCUUAAGAACAAGCAUCGGCUAACUCCGUGCCAGCAGCCGCGGUAAUACGGAGGAUGCGAGCGUUAUCCGGAUUUAUUGGGUUUAAAGGGUGCGCAGGCGGAAGGUCAAGUCAGCGGUAAAAUUUCGGGGCUAAACCCCGUCUUGCCGUUGAAACUGGGGUUCUUGAGUGCGCGAGAGGUAUGCGGAAUGCGUGGUGUAGCGGUGAAAUGCAUAGAUAUCACGCAGAACUCCGAUUGCGAAGGCAGCCUACCGGAGCGCAACUGACGCUCAUGCACGAAAGCGUGGGUAUCGAACAGGAUUAGAUACCCGUGUAGUC
This 459-nucleotide ribosomal RNA is filed under the name uncultured bacterium. RNAcentral's name for it is "partial 16S ribosomal RNA". It matches the Rfam family "Bacterial small subunit ribosomal RNA", at positions 338 to 795 of the family's 1533-position model. The record is from RNAcentral.